RNAcentral lists this ribosomal RNA (2927 nucleotides) under Escherichia coli. Its description in RNAcentral is "23S ribosomal RNA". It matches the Rfam family "Bacterial large subunit ribosomal RNA". Lineage: Bacteria; Pseudomonadati; Pseudomonadota; Gammaproteobacteria; Enterobacterales; Enterobacteriaceae. The record is from RNAcentral.
GGGUUGUGAGGUUAAGCGACUAAGCGUACACGGUGGAUGCCCUGGCAGUCAGAGGCGAUGAAGGACGUGCUAAUCUGCGAUAAGCGUCGGUAAGGUGAUAUGAACCGUUAUAACCGGCGAUUUCCGAAUGGGGAAACCCAGUGUGAUUCGUCACACUAUCAUUAACUGAAUCCAUAGGUUAAUGAGGCGAACCGGGGGAACUGAAACAUCUAAGUACCCCGAGGAAAAGAAAUCAACCGAGAUUCCCCCAGUAGCGGCGAGCGAACGGGGAGCAGCCCAGAGCCUGAAUCAGUGUGUGUGUUAGUGGAAGCGUCUGGAAAGGCGUGCGAUACAGGGUGACAGCCCCGUACACAAAAAUGCACAUGCUGUGAGCUCGAUGAGUAGGGCGGGACACGUGGUAUCCUGUCUGAAUAUGGGGGGACCAUCCUCCAAGGCUAAAUACUCCUGACUGACCGAUAGUGAACCAGUACCGUGAGGGAAAGGCGAAAAGAACCCCGGCGAGGGGAGUGAAAAAGAACCUGAAACCGUGUACGUACAAGCAGUGGGAGCACAGAGCAAUCUGUGUGACUGCGUACCUUUUGUAUAAUGGGUCAGCGACUUAUAUUCUGUAGCAAGGUUAACCGAAUAGGGGAGCCGAAGGGAAACCGAGUCUUAACUGGGCGUUAAGUUGCAGGGUAUAGACCCGAAACCCGGUGAUCUAGCCAUGGGCAGGUUGAAGGUUGGGUAACACUAACUGGAGGACCGAACCGACUAAUGUUGAAAAAUUAGCGGAUGACUUGUGGCUGGGGGUGAAAGGCCAAUCAAACCGGGAGAUAGCUGGUUCUCCCCGAAAGCUAUUUAGGUAGCGCCUCGUGAAUUCAUCUCCGGGGGUAGAGCACUGUUUCGGCAAGGGGGUCAUCCCGACUUACCAACCCGAUGCAAACUGCGAAUACCGGAGAAUGUUAUCACGGGAGACACACGGCGGGUGCUAACGUCCGUCGUGAAGAGGGAAACAACCCAGACCGCCAGCUAAGGUCCCAAAGUCAUGGUUAAGUGGGAAACGAUGUGGGAAGGCCCAGACAGCCAGGAUGUUGGCUUAGAAGCAGCCAUCAUUUAAAGAAAGCGUAAUAGCUCACUGGUCGAGUCGGCCUGCGCGGAAGAUGUAACGGGGCUAAACCAUGCACCGAAGCUGCGGCAGCGACGCUUAUGCGUUGUUGGGUAGGGGAGCGUUCUGUAAGCCUGCGAAGGUGUGCUGUGAGGCAUGCUGGAGGUAUCAGAAGUGCGAAUGCUGACAUAAGUAACGAUAAAGCGGGUGAAAAGCCCGCUCGCCGGAAGACCAAGGGUUCCUGUCCAACGUUAAUCGGGGCAGGGUGAGUCGACCCCUAAGGCGAGGCCGAAAGGCGUAGUCGAUGGGAAACAGGUUAAUAUUCCUGUACUUGGUGUUACUGCGAAGGGGGGACGGAGAAGGCUAUGUUGGCCGGGCGACGGUUGUCCCGGUUUAAGCGUGUAGGCUGGUUUUCCAGGCAAAUCCGGAAAACUAAGGCUGAGGCGUGAUGACGAGGCACUACGGUGCUGAAGCAACAAAUGCCCUGCUUCCAGGAAAAGCCUCUAAGCAUCAGGUAACAUCAAAUCGUACCCCAAACCGACACAGGUGGUCAGGUAGAGAAUACCAAGGCGCUUGAGAGAACUCGGGUGAAGGAACUAGGCAAAAUGGUGCCGUAACUUCGGGAGAAGGCACGCUGAUAUGUAGGUGAAGCGACUUGCUCGUGGAGCUGAAAUCAGUCGAAGAUACCAGCUGGCUGCAACUGUUUAUUAAAAACACAGCACUGUGCAAACACGAAAGUGGACGUAUACGGUGUGACGCCUGCCCGGUGCCGGAAGGUUAAUUGAUGGGGUUAGCGCAAGCGAAGCUCUUGAUCGAAGCCCCGGUAAACGGCGGCCGUAACUAUAACGGUCCUAAGGUAGCGAAAUUCCUUGUCGGGUAAGUUCCGACCUGCACGAAUGGCGUAAUGAUGGCCAGGCUGUCUCCACCCGAGACUCAGUGAAAUUGAACUCGCUGUGAAGAUGCAGUGUACCCGCGGCAAGACGGAAAGACCCCGUGAACCUUUACUAUAGCUUGACACUGAACAUUGAGCCUUGAUGUGUAGGAUAGGUGGGAGGCUUUGAAGUGUGGACGCCAGUCUGCAUGGAGCCGACCUUGAAAUACCACCCUUUAAUGUUUGAUGUUCUAACGUUGACCCGUGAUCCGGGUUGCGGACAGUGUCUGGUGGGUAGUUUGACUGGGGCGGUCUCCUCCUAAAGAGUAACGGAGGAGCACGAAGGUUGGCUAAUCCUGGUCGGACAUCAGGAGGUUAGUGCAAUGGCAUAAGCCAGCUUGACUGCGAGCGUGACGGCGCGAGCAGGUGCGAAAGCAGGUCAUAGUGAUCCGGUGGUUCUGAAUGGAAGGGCCAUCGCUCAACGGAUAAAAGGUACUCCGGGGAUAACAGGCUGAUACCGCCCAAGAGUUCAUAUCGACGGCGGUGUUUGGCACCUCGAUGUCGGCUCAUCACAUCCUGGGGCUGAAGUAGGUCCCAAGGGUAUGGCUGUUCGCCAUUUAAAGUGGUACGCGAGCUGGGUUUAGAACGUCGUGAGACAGUUCGGUCCCUAUCUGCCGUGGGCGCUGGAGAACUGAGGGGGGCUGCUCCUAGUACGAGAGGACCGGAGUGGACGCAUCACUGGUGUUCGGGUUGUCAUGCCAAUGGCACUGCCCGGUAGCUAAAUGCGGAAGAGAUAAGUGCUGAAAGCAUCUAAGCACGAAACUUGCCCCGAGAUGAGUUCUCCCUGACUCCUUGAGAGUCCUGAAGGAACGUUGAAGACGACGACGUUGAUAGGCCGGGUGUGUAAGCGCAGCGAUGCGUUGAGCUAACCGGUACUAAUGAACCGUGAGGCUUAACCUUACAACGCCGAAG